This 522-nucleotide unclassified non-coding RNA is filed under the name Hevea brasiliensis (rubber tree). The record is from RNAcentral. Lineage: Eukaryota; Viridiplantae; Streptophyta; Magnoliopsida; Malpighiales; Euphorbiaceae.
GCACCCUCAUCAAAUCAUCAUUAGAGCAUUGAUCAGAAUGGAAGCUGCUGAAUCUCCAUACCCAAAUUUGUCUCCAAAGGAAUCGCUAAUUAAGCGUUACAAGCCUAUUUGGCGUAUUCUAUUGAUCUCUAAUCUCGCUCUUGGAGCUUAUAUGUUUGCAAAGGCAAGGAAGAAAAAUUUGAACAUAGAAGAAAGGAAAACUGCAAAAAAGGAUGUGGAAGAAAGCAAAGCCCCAGAGGAAGAUUUCUUGGAUUCAACUACUCUCUCAGUUCCUGAGACUCCGUCCCCUGCUCCAGCUGUUCUAAAAGCAAAGCAGCCCAUACCUGAAGAUCAGCAGCGUGAGCUUUUCAAGUGGAUAUUGGAAGAGAAAAGAAAAGUCAAGCCCAAGGACCAGCAGGAGAAGAAACGAAUUGAUGAAGAGAAAGCCAUCCUCAAACAGUUCAUACGGGCAAAGGCCAUUCCAAGUUUUUAACUGAUGUUUCUAAAUUUUUUCUACAAAAAAUAGGAAGUUGAAAAGGAUUU